AAAUUAAAUGGCUGCAGUAACUAUGACUGUAAAAAUGUAGCAUAAUAAUUCGCCACUUAAUUAGUGGAUAGUAUGAACGGUUUAACGAAAAUUCCACUGUNUUAUAUAAUAAAAAAAAAAUUUAAAUCAUAGUUAAGAUGUAUGUAAAACUGUAAGACGAAAAGACCCUAUAAAGCUUAACUAUAUUUCUUAAUAAUUAAUAAAAAAAAACUUAAAAAAAUUAUUUAUUAAGAUUUGGUAGUUUCAUUGGGGCGAUGAUCUCUAAAAAUAAACAGAGAUAAACCUAUAUAAUAAUAAAAUUUACUGUAUAAUUAAUAAAUUUAACAGUUACAAAGUAGGGUAUAAUGACCCAUUAAUUUUAUAAAAAGAAUUAAUGAUCAAUAAAUAAAAGCUACUUUAGGGAUAACAGGAUAAUAAUUUCUUAGAGACCCAAUCGAAGAAAAAGUUUAUCACCUCGAUGUUGAAUUAAGAUAACCUAAUGACGCAGC
This 488-nucleotide ribosomal RNA is filed under the name Lytocarpia phyteuma. Its description in RNAcentral is "partial 16S ribosomal RNA". It matches the Rfam family "Bacterial large subunit ribosomal RNA", at positions 1920 to 2559 of the family's 2925-position model. Lineage: Eukaryota; Metazoa; Cnidaria; Hydrozoa; Leptothecata; Aglaopheniidae. The record is from RNAcentral.